RNAcentral lists this ribosomal RNA (284 nucleotides) under Amycolatopsis alba DSM 44262. RNAcentral's name for it is "partial 16S ribosomal RNA". It matches the Rfam family "Bacterial small subunit ribosomal RNA", at positions 1 to 289 of the family's 1533-position model. The record is from RNAcentral. Lineage: Bacteria; Bacillati; Actinomycetota; Actinomycetes; Pseudonocardiales; Pseudonocardiaceae.
CAUUGUUGGAGAGUUUGAUCCUGGCUCAGGACGAACGCUGGCGGCGUGCUUAACACAUGCAAGUCGAACGAUGAAGCCUUCGGGUGGAUUAGUGGCGAACGGGUGAGUAACACGUGGGCAAUCUGCCCUGUACUUUGGGAUAAGCCUGGGAAACUGGGUCUAAUACCGGAUAUCACCAGCCUUCGCAUGGGGGUUGGUUGAAAGUUCUGGCGGUACAGGAUGAGCCCGCGGCCUAUCAGCUUGUUGGUGGGGUAAUGGCCUACCAAGGCGACGACGGGUAGCCG